Pelobates cultripes (western spadefoot toad) is the source of this 312-nucleotide non-coding RNA. NCBI's taxonomy places the organism in Eukaryota, Metazoa, Chordata, Amphibia, Anura, Pelobatidae. The record is from the annotation of a GenBank genome assembly.
CUUCAGUGAUUAUUGGGUUUCAGGGUGGCCGCUGUUCGGCUACCGACCACGCAGCGGUCGGCCAUCUUGGAUCCUUUGUUAGCCCAGCGGUAUUUGGUCGUCGAGCGCCUGGAACUAAAAUCGGCUACUCGACGGCACGAAUACCACUGGACUUCCAGGCCGUUCGGGAGCACCGGUCCUUCGGUGGUUUGUUCCCCUAUAUCCAUUCGGUAUUUUAAGGUGAAUAUAAAGUAAUAUGUAUUUUCGUGCGGCGUUCGGUUAUUUAUGCUGGGAUCUGAGCGCCACUUUCACGAAAGGUGUGCUCAGACCCCA